Molecule: ribosomal RNA, 865 nt
Filed under: uncultured bacterium
Lineage: Bacteria
Description: bacterial SSU rRNA
Rfam family: Bacterial small subunit ribosomal RNA
Source: RNAcentral
CUGCCGUUGAAACUGGGGAUCUGGAGUACGGUCGCCGCCGGAGGAAUGUGCGGUGUAGCGGUGAAAUGCAUAGAUAUCGCACAGAACACCGAUUGCGGAGGCAUCUGGCGAGGCCGAAACUGACGCUGAGGCACGAAAGCGUGGGGAUCGAACAGGAUUAGAUACCCUGGUAGUCCACGCUGUAAGCGAUGAUGGCUAGCCGUUGGUCUUUAGGGAUCAGUGGUCAAGAGAAAUCGAUAAGCCAUCCACCUGGGGAGUACGGCCGCAAGGCUGAAACUCAAAGGAAUUGACGGGGGCCCGCACAAGCGGAGGAACAUGUGGUUUAAUUCGAUGAUACGCGAGGAACCUUACCCGGGCUCGAACGGCUCCGGAAUAUGUGAGAGAUCACAUAGUCUACGGACUGGAGUCGAGGUGCUGCAUGGUUGUCGUCAGCUCGUGCCGUGAGGUGUCGGCUCAAGUGCCAUAACGAGCGCAACCCCUGCGUCCAGUUGCCAGCGAUUAGGUCGGGGACUCUGGACGGACUGCCGCCGCAAGGUGCGAGGAAGGGGGGGAUGACGUCAAAUCAGCACGGCCCUUACGUCCGGGGCGACACACGUGUUACAAUGGGGGGUACAGAGGGGAGCCAGGCUGCGAGGCCGCGCGGAUCCCGAAAGCCCCUCCCAGUUCGGAUCGGAGUCUGCAACCCGACUCCGUGAAGCUGGAUUCGCUAGUAAUCGCGCAUCAGCCAUGGCGCGGUGAAUACGUUCCCGGGCCUUGUACACACCGCCCGUCAAGCCAUGGGAGCCGGGAGCGCCUGAAGUCCGUAACCGCGAGGAGCGGCCAAGGGCGAGACCGGUGACUGGGGCUAAGUCGUAACAAGGUAACC